AUGGUAUGUGGUUGUGAAUCUUGGAGAACUAAAGCCAAGCUUCUACCCUUCUUCCCAGAAGGCUCCCCACUCACAAUAGGAGAGAAGCCAGAGGAAAGGAAAUUAUCAUGGAGAUUCAUCUUGAUGCAAAGGUGCUAUGAUGAAUUGCUGUCCUCACUCAACCAACCCAGGACCACCAGGAACAAAGCCUACUCUGACAAAGCCUACAAAGUGAUGUUCAUUGACACAUUGCAAAGACCACACACCAGCAGAACCAUAGGGUAUCUCCCCAAACAAAGGAAAAGAAAAGAAUUACAGUAUGGGGCAUGGGGAAGAGUGGAAUUUAAGCGAAAUGUAUUUUGACAGACUCAAAGCAAGAUAGGUCUAAAUGUAAAGGUAUCAUCCUAAGUUCUGGACUAUGAAGCAGUUUGCUGGGAACAAAUGGAACAAAUGGAACACUAUGAAGUGUUUGCUGGGAAGCAAUAAGACUAUUAUCCAUAGCUGUGGGCUACUGUGUCCAGAAACCCCUCCUCCAAAGCUCUCUCCCUAGGGUUUAAAUCAAGGCUGCUUCUCUCUCAGUGACUUAGAUCCUCCAGGCAAGGGUGAGAUAUUUCACUCUAACAUCAUUUCAAACAGCGAUGUUUCUGAUAGUCUAGGAUUCUAGAGAAGAAAGGUUUCUCAGUGAGUCAGAAGACACUACUCACUCCAAGAAGGGGGUUUUUGUGACCCUUUACCACUACAGCAUGCCCCUUGCGAGAAAUAUUAUUUAUUGUUCACUUUGAAUCUGGUUUUCUCUUUUAUUCCAGCCUGAUGAAUGGCCAAGGAAGAUUUUAAUAGUCCAGGCUAAUUUUUACUUUCUCUCGUCUCAAUGGGGGUGACAGACAAUCAGGUCAUUACAACACAGUGGGAGAAGCAGCUAUGAUGAGGGUUUAAUUUAGACUUCAUUUAGGUCAGGGAAGACUGUCUGCAGGAGGCAGACCUCCCAGCUGGGAAAAGCAGAAGCUGCCCCAACGAAAGUGGGAAGGGGUGUUAGAGCACAGUCAGGACUUGGGCAGAGGCACAAGAGUGGGGCACAGGGUGGUAAAUUGGAGGAAUCACAAGUGUCAUUGAAGACGAAUCAACAGAAUGUCUAGAAUGCUGGGGAGGACUGCAUAAGACAGUUAAUCAAAACUUACACCAAAGCACUGGUCACCGGGAGUGUGUGUUCUCUGUUCAGGGGAGAGUCAUUAGCAUGGUCUUCCUAUGCACAUACACGUGAAAGGCAAGUAGCCCCCAGAGGGGAAGUGCUAAGGGGGAGUUCCCCUGAGGUUUCCUAAGGCACCUGGUUUGCAAAGCUGAUCCCUGUAUGGAAAGUAGAGCCAUUUGUAGACUUGCCCUGAACCAUCCCAUCCUGUUUCCUGAGAACAUUUAGGGAAUCAGGCUGGCCUUUAACCAAUGCUGAGUUUCAGGAAAGGACGAGAACAACCAAGAAAUAAAACUGCCCGGAAGACACAGGGUGUUCCUGAGAACUGGACAUACCAGUGGGUGGUAUCAUUCAAGGUCCUGGGAGGGAACAGACUGCACAGUGAAACAGGACAGUCCUCUUUCUCGUCUCUUCACUGGCCAAAACCGAUCAGGAACAGAGGGCAAGUAGGGCAAGGAUUGAAUUGGUUCAGGUGGACCUGGGCAUCGGCGGUCAUGUAGCUCUGCAGAGCACCGCGGUGUGUGGUCAGCACUGAGGGGGCCUCUCUUCCCUGGCCAAACCCAGUCAAGAACAGAGGGCAAGGAGGGCUGCCAAGGCUGUCCCUGGAGGUCAGCCUCCAGGACAGGGAGCAAGGUGGAAAAGGGAGAACAGUGGAUUUGGAGGGACAAAGUAGGAAGUUCUAGAACAGGGGCUCAUGCUAAGGCCUCUUUCUGACUUGUUCACCCUGGCACAGAGGUUUUUCUCUGCAAAACAACAGGUGGAUUUGGGAAAGUGAGACAAAAGGGGUUGUCACUUACAGCACAGCAGGGAACAGCAGACCCUAGCACUGUGGACCUGGUGUCCUCAACAAACUGCCACCUUUGGAGACAGGUGCUAGAAAGCAUUUAAAAUUACUUACUAGUUUUAACUUACAUUAUUUAAAAUGAUUUCUUAUUGAAUUUAAAAAAUUAAUGAGUGUCCACGUCGGCACCCUUUGUUAGAGAAGCAGAUCAUGUUAGAGGGGCGACAGCCAAGUCUGGAGCCCGAAGCAAGUCUGGAAGGACACGAGUGUCAGGUGGAGACUUUAUCCUGAGGGCAGUGUGGACCUGGAAGGCCUCCAGCAGGGAGUAGCAUGUGGUACUGGCUGCUUUUGCUAGAUUAUUGCUGUGAUAGGCAAACCCCUGCCCCUUCCCUUACAUUACCAGGAAGGAUUGCAUAUUAAUUCUGCUGUCACCUGACUCCCUUGCCCAGAUGGGGAAGACAACUGUUAAGCACUAGGGAUGAAGAGGAGAAGCAAAGAAAGGGGAGUCAGAAAACAGGGACAAAAAACAGUAUGUGCUUUUCAAGUUUGAGCCUUCAAGAUAUCGGUUGGAGAACUAGAAAAUCUUGUUUCCAGGCAUCACAUUCUUCAGUUCCUCUGCAUUUUUCUAAGCUUUGGAGGAAUGUAUAAACUGGUUUCCAAAAAUGUCCUGCGUUUUCUUUCAACAAAACUAUUGAACACCUGCUAUGUGUCAGGUCUCAAGAGAACAACAGACAAGAAAACGUGGGCUGCCCGAGAGCCCCUGACAGCCUUGCAGAGCGACAGAUACAUGCGCAGUUAUUUGCAAGUGUAUGGCUGAGCCUCUAAAACAAUGCAGGCCAUGUUUUAGACCAAAGAAAAGGAUAGCUAGAAUUAUUAUAGGUGCAUAAAAUUGAGUAAAUUAUAGUCCUUGUUUCAUGGUGCUUAUCGUCAUCAGCCUGUUUUAUUUUUUACAAUUCAAUUCCCACUUAUGUUUCUCCCCACAGACAUCCACUUUGAUGGACUUAAUAAGUAUCCUUGGAUAGGUUGGGUUGGCAUCUUUAUAAAAUCAUACAGACAUGGUGUCACGCCAUAGAUCUUAAUCUGCUGCUGCUUUCACUCAACACUAAUGUUUUUAUUAUUUUAAGUUAUGGGGUACAUGUGCAGAACGUGCAGGUUUGUUACAUAGGUACACAUGUGCCAUGGUAGUUUGCAGUACCCUAUCAACCUGUCAACUAGGUUUUAAGUCCUGCAUGCAUUAGGUAUUUGUCCUAAUGCUCUCCCUCCCCUUGCCCCCCACCCCCAACACUAAUUUUUAAGAUCUACCCAUGAUGCACACGCACAUCUAGUUCAUAGGGGCCUAACUGCUGGAAAGUAUUCCACAGGUUGUAUCUAUUCCAUAGUAUUAUCCAUUCCCUGAGCAGUAAAUGCUCAGAUGCCUCCAAUUGUCUUACUACCACAUUAAUCUGAAAUGAAUGUAGCAUCUGUAGACUUGUCCCUUUAUGGACUGUGAGCAAAUUUCUCUGGAGCAUUUACCCAGGAACGGGCUAAAUAAGUCAUGGGGUAUAUGUGACGUCCAGAAGUAUUGGCAUACUGCUCUCUAGACACUCAAACUUGGUAUUGUCUGCCUCUUUAAUGUUUUGGGCCUUUUUUUUUUUUUUUUUUUUCCUAAGACAGAGUCUCACUCUGUUGCCAGGCUGGAGUGCAGUGGCACGAUCUUGGCUCACUGCAGCCUCUGCCUCCCGGGUUCAAGCAAUUCUCCUGCUUCAGCCUCCUGAGUAGCUGGGACUAUAGGCACGUGCCGCCACGUGCAGCUCAUUUUUUGUAUUUUUAGUAAAGAUGGGGUUUCACUAUGUUAGCCAGCAUGGUCUCAAUCUCCUGAUCUUGUGAUCCGCCGCCUCAGCCUCCCAAAGUGUUGGGAUUACAGGCGUGAGCCACUGCACCCCGCCCAAUAUUCUUGGCUUUUAAGUUGUGUCUUGUUUUACUUUAUUAUUUUUUAUUUUAUUUUUUUGAGACAGAACCUCACUUUGUCACCCAGGCUGGAGUGCAGUGGUGCCAUCUUGGCUCACUGCAGCCUCCACCUCCUGGGUUCUAGCAAUUCUCCUGCCUCAGCCUCCCUAGUAGCUGCAAUUACAGACAAGCACCACUACAUCCGGCUAAGUUUUGUAUUUUUAAUAGAGAUGGCAUUUCACUGUGUUGGCCAGGCUGGUCUCGAACUCCUGACCUCAGGUGAUCCCUCCGCCUCAGCCUCUCAAAGUGUUGGGAUUACAAGCAUGAGCCACCGCACCCCUCCGUCUUGUUUUAUUUUGGUAUCCAGCGAAGUUGAGCAAUGUUAGCCAUUUCAAUUUCCCCUUGAAUAUACUUUGUGUAUUUUUCUAUUGGAUUUACUUUAGAUAUUAUUUCUGUUACUUUUUGAUGAUAUAAAAAUCUCCCUUUCUGUAAGCCAAUUGUCAUCUUUGUCUAUUAUAUCAUAUUAAAAAUGAAUUCUUAAUUGUGGUGUAAUAUAAUCCAUUAAACUUUUUUACCCAAUUGUUCGUGGUUUCUGAGUCUUGUAGAAAUCCUUCAACCCCACCUCUCUUCUACCCCCCAAAAGAUACUCUUCCUACAUUUUCUUUUUUUAACUUUAUAGUUUUAUCUUUCCAUGGGAUCUUGGUUGAUCUGAAAUUCACCUUCACACAGAAUGAGGUAAGGACCUAAUUUUACUUUUCUCCAAUAGUGAGGCACUGUUGCCUUUCUUCACUGACUUGUGGUGUCAGCCUCAUAUAUCAAGUUCUCAUGUACACAGCUUUGCUUCUGAGCGCUCUGUUCUGCCCCAUUAAGCUAUUUACCCACAAUCAUGUACGAUAAUGCUUUUGUUGCUGUGGCUUUGCAGUAUUUGUUGAUAUCUGGGAGUCUCAUUGUCCUUCUUGUCUUUCCUUUAUGAAAAUGAACCUAACUAUUCAUGGGUAUUCCCUCUUCUAUAGACAUUUUUUUUCAUUUUCUCAUUUCUACUUUUGUAGAGAUGGGGUCUCGCUAUGUGGCCCAGGCAGAUCUCAAACUCCUGGCUUCAAGUAAUCCUCCCACCUCAUCCUCCUGAAGUGCUGGGAUUACAGAUGUGAGCCACUGAGCCCAGCCAACAAACAUAUUUAAAGUUGUAAAUUCAAAGGUAUACAUUUUGACAUACAGUACCUGGAAUCCAUUUGGAAUAUAUAAAAUAUUCUCUUUAGGCC
This 5128-nucleotide long non-coding RNA is filed under the name Macaca mulatta (Rhesus monkey). RNAcentral describes it as "lncRNA (ENSMMUG00000058921.1)". The record is from RNAcentral. Lineage: Eukaryota; Metazoa; Chordata; Mammalia; Primates; Cercopithecidae.